RNAcentral lists this ribosomal RNA (403 nucleotides) under bacterium. RNAcentral describes it as "partial 16S ribosomal RNA". It matches the Rfam family "Bacterial small subunit ribosomal RNA", at positions 355 to 776 of the family's 1533-position model. The record is from RNAcentral.
UGGGGAAUCUUGCACAAUGGGGGAAACCCUGAUGCAGCGACGCCGCGUGAGCGAUGAAGGUUUUCGAAUCGUAAAGCUCUGUCCUAUGGGAAGAUAAUGACGGUACCAUAGGAGGAAGCCCCGGCUAACUACGUGCCCGCAGCCGCGGUAAUACGUAGGGGGCGAGCGUUGUCCGGAAUUACUGGGCGUAAAGGGUUCGCAGGCGGCAUGACCAGUCCGAUGUAAAAGGCGAAAGCUCAACUUUCGUAAGCAUCGGAAACUGUCAAGCUUGAGUGAAGGAGAGGCAAGUGGAAUUCCUAGUGUAGCGGUGGAAUGCGUAGAUAUUAGGAGGAAUACCGGUGGCGAAGGCGACUUGCUGGACUUCAACUGACGCUGAGGAACGAAAGCGUGGGUAGCAAACAGG